GUGCUGGAAUUCGCCCUUAGAGUUCGAUCCUGGCUCAUAUUGAACGCUGGCGGCAGGCCUAAGACAUGCAAGUCGAGCGAAAAAGUCCUUCGGGGUGAGUAAAGCGGCGGAUGGGUGAGUAACGCGUAGGAAUCUACCCAGUAGUGGGGGACAACUAGUGGAAACGCUAGCUAAUACCGCAUACGCCCUAAGGGGGAAAGCGGGGGAUCUUCGGACCUCGUGCUAUAGGACGAGCCUGCGUAACAUUAGCUUGUUGGUGAGGUAAUGGCUCACCAAGGCGACGAUCUUUAGCUGGUCUGCGAGGAUGACCAGCCACAACGGGACUGACAUACGGACCGGACUCCUACGGGAGGCAGCCACUCGGGAAUAUCGCGCAAUGGGGGAAACCCUGAUGCACCCAUGCCGUGUGUGUGAAGAAGGCCCU
This 424-nucleotide ribosomal RNA is filed under the name uncultured bacterium. RNAcentral describes it as "partial 16S ribosomal RNA". It matches the Rfam family "Bacterial small subunit ribosomal RNA", at positions 1 to 418 of the family's 1533-position model. The record is from RNAcentral.